RNAcentral lists this ribosomal RNA (319 nucleotides) under uncultured Bacillota bacterium. RNAcentral describes it as "bacterial SSU rRNA". It matches the Rfam family "Bacterial small subunit ribosomal RNA", at positions 28 to 351 of the family's 1533-position model. Lineage: Bacteria; Bacillati; Bacillota. The record is from RNAcentral.
GACGAACGCUGGCGGCGUGCCUAAUACAUGCAAGUCGAGCGGUCCCUUCGGGGACAGCGGCGGACGGGUGAGUAACACGUAGGCAACCUGCCUGUAAGACCGGGAUAACUAUCGGAAACGAUAGCUAAGACCGGAUAAUUGGAUCUUUCGCAUGAGAGAUUCAUGAAACGCGGAGCAAUCUGUGGCUUAUAGAUGGGCCUGCGGCGCAUUAGCUAGUAGGUGAGGUAACGGCUCACCUAGGCGACGAUGCGUAGCCGACCUGAGAGGGUGAUCGGCCACACUGGGACUGAGACACGGCCCAGACUCCUACGGGAGGCUG